UACGGAAGGUGCAAGCGUUAUCCGGAAUCACUGGGUUUAAAGGGUGCGUAGGCGGGCUAAUAAGUCAGAGGUGAAAGCUCAUCGCUUAACGAUGGAAUUGCCUUUGAUACUGUUAGUCUUGAAUCAGGUUGAGGUUGGCGGAAUGAGUCAUGUAGCGGUGAAAUGCAUAGAUAUGACUUAGAACACCGAUUGCGAAGGCAGCUGGCUAGACCUGCAUUGACGCUGAGGCACGAAAGCGUGGGGAGCGAACAGG
RNAcentral lists this ribosomal RNA (253 nucleotides) under uncultured bacterium. RNAcentral describes it as "partial 16S ribosomal RNA". It matches the Rfam family "Bacterial small subunit ribosomal RNA", at positions 524 to 776 of the family's 1533-position model. The record is from RNAcentral.